This 71-nucleotide transfer RNA is filed under the name Pilgerodendron uviferum. Its description in RNAcentral is "tRNA-Gly". It matches the Rfam family "tRNA". Rfam says of the family: Transfer RNA (tRNA) molecules are approximately 80 nucleotides in length. Their secondary structure includes four short double-helical elements and three loops (D, anti-codon, and T loops). The record is from RNAcentral. Lineage: Eukaryota; Viridiplantae; Streptophyta; Pinopsida; Cupressales; Cupressaceae.
ACGGGUAUAGUUUAGUGUUAAAACCAUAGCCUUCCAAGUUAACGAUGCGGGUUCAAUUCCCGCUACUCGCU